RNAcentral lists this ribosomal RNA (492 nucleotides) under uncultured bacterium. RNAcentral describes it as "partial 16S ribosomal RNA". It matches the Rfam family "Bacterial small subunit ribosomal RNA", at positions 29 to 507 of the family's 1533-position model. The record is from RNAcentral.
AGUGAACGCUGGCGGUAGGCCUAACACAUGCAAGUCGAGCGGCAGCACAGUAAGAGCUUGCUCUUACGGGUGGCGAGUGGCGGACGGGUGAGGAAUACAUCGGAAUCUACUUUUUCGUGGGGGAUAACGUAGGGAAACUUACGCUAAUACCGCAUACGACCUACGGGUGAAAGCAGGGGAUCUUUGGACCUUGCGCGAUUGAAUGAGCCGAUGUCGGAUUAGCUAGUUGGCGGGGUAAAGGCCCACCAAGGCGACGAUACGUAGCUGGUCUGAGAGGAUGAUCAGCCACACUGGAACUGAGACACGGUCCAGACUCCUACGGGAGGCAGCAGUGGGGAAUAUUGGACAAUGGGCGCAAGCCUGAUCCAGCCAUACCGCGUGGGUGAAGAAGGCCUUCGGGUUGUAAAGCCCUUUUGUUGGGAAAGAAAAGCAGCAGGUUAAUACCCCGCUGUUCUGACGGUACCCAAAGAAUAAGCACCGGCUAACUUCGUG